RNAcentral lists this ribosomal RNA (407 nucleotides) under uncultured Bdellovibrio sp. Its description in RNAcentral is "bacterial SSU rRNA". It matches the Rfam family "Bacterial small subunit ribosomal RNA", at positions 355 to 776 of the family's 1533-position model. Lineage: Bacteria; Pseudomonadati; Bdellovibrionota; Bdellovibrionia; Bdellovibrionales; Pseudobdellovibrionaceae. The record is from RNAcentral.
UAGGGAAUAUUGCACAAUGGGGGAAACCCUGAUGCAGCGACGUUGCGUGAGUGAUGAAGGCUUUCGGGUUGUAAAGCUCUGUUCUUGGGGAACAAACAAAUGAGGGUACUCAAGGAGAAAGGACUGGCUAAUUUCGUGCCAGCAGCCGCGGUAAUACGAGGGGUCCGAGCGUUAUCCGGAAUUAUUGGGCGUAAAGUGGAUGUAGGUGGCUUUGUCAGUCAGGAGUGAAAACCUCGGGCUUAACCCGAGACCUGCUUUUGAUACUGCGAAGCUUGAGUUAGGGAGAGGAUAGUAGAAUUCCUGGUGUAGUGGUGAAAUACGUAGAUAUCAGGAGGAAUACCGGAGGCGAAGGCGUCUAUCUGGCCCGACACUGACACUCAGAUCCGAAAGCGUGGGGAGCAAACAGG